UGCAAGUCGAACGCAGUAGCAAUACUGAGUGGCAAACGGGUGAGUAUAAUGUGGGUAUCUGCCUUUUGGUUUGGAAUAACAUGAGGAAACUUGUGCUAAUACCGAAUAAGCCUUCACAGGGAAAGUUUUAACGCCGAAAGAUGAGCCCGCACUUGAUUAGUUUGUUGGUGAGGUAAUGGCUCACCAAGACAAUUAUCAAUAGCUGGUCUGAGAGGACGAUCAGCCACAUUGGGACUGAGACACGGCCCAGACUCCUACGGGAGGCAGCAGUAAGGAAUCUUGCACAAUGGGGGAAACCCUGAUGCAGCGAUGCCGCGUGAGUGAAGAAGGCCCUUGGGUUGUAAAACUCUUUCGUCGGGGAAGAAAAUGACUGUACCCGAAUAAGAAGGUCCGGCUAACUUCGUGCCAGCAGCCGCGGUAAUACGAAGGGACCUAGCGUAGUUCGGAAUUACUGGGCUUAAAGAGCUCGUAGGUGGUUAAAAUAGUUGAUGGUGAAAUCCCAAGGCUCACCCUUGGAACUGCCCAUCAAAACUUUUUAGCUAGAGUGGUGAUAGAGG
RNAcentral lists this ribosomal RNA (557 nucleotides) under uncultured marine bacterium. RNAcentral describes it as "bacterial SSU rRNA". It matches the Rfam family "Bacterial small subunit ribosomal RNA", at positions 56 to 658 of the family's 1533-position model. The record is from RNAcentral.